CGUGUAGGCUGCUCGGAAAGUCGGAUGUGAAAGCCCUGGGCUCAACCUAGGAAGUGCAUUCGAAACUUCCGAGCUGGAGUGCUGGAGAGGAAGGCGGAAUUCUCGGUGUAGAGGUGAAAUUCGUAGAUAUCGAGAGGAACAUCGGUGGCGAAGGCGGCCUUCUGGACAGCUACUGACGCUGAGACGCGAAAGCGUGGGGAGCAAACA
Molecule: ribosomal RNA, 207 nt
Filed under: uncultured delta proteobacterium
Lineage: Bacteria; Deltaproteobacteria
Description: partial 16S ribosomal RNA
Rfam family: Bacterial small subunit ribosomal RNA
Source: RNAcentral